GGUGACAUUAUGGGCUCCUCCAUCAGCGGUAUAGAAAAGUUACUCAAAAUGCCGUACGGCUGUGGUGAACAAAAUAUGAUAAACUUCGCUCCGAGCAUGUUCAUACGAGCCUAUCUGGAGAGUGUCGGUCAGCUUACAUCAAGUAUCAGAGAAAAGUCGAUAAAAUUCAUGACGUCAGGUAAGUCUGAUAGCAACUUCGUACCUACAGUUGAAAUUCACAAACGAUUUGUAAACAAAGCCUCCGAU
Molecule: non-coding RNA, 246 nt
Organism: Paramuricea clavata
Lineage: Eukaryota; Metazoa; Cnidaria; Anthozoa; Malacalcyonacea; Plexauridae
Source: the annotation of a GenBank genome assembly